This 1634-nucleotide long non-coding RNA is filed under the name Lonchura striata (white-rumped munia). RNAcentral's name for it is "domestica (Bengalese finch) lncRNA (ENSLSDG00000002931.1)". The record is from RNAcentral. Lineage: Eukaryota; Metazoa; Chordata; Aves; Passeriformes; Estrildidae.
CCUCCCCGGUGUCUGAGGCAGCUGAAGCCUGUCAAGCCCUACACCUCAACAAGGCAAUUCAGCCAAGAAGUAAUCUGCCUUUCAAAGGCCUGGCCAUCACUCCUUGGCUACUUCUUGUUGCAUGGGAAUAAUCUCCCUUCUUGUUGAUGAGCCUUGAAAGCCACAAAGGACAAACAUCAAAGAACACAUUUUCCUUACAAACAUUUUGCAUUUUGAAGAUUCUCCAGCAGGACCAGUGGCUGUGUGGGAGCCGGAGCAGCCGAGGCAGAGCAGGAUGGUGGAGCUGUGGGCCUGGGCACGAUCCAGAGCGUUCCCCAGGGCCCCGGUCUGCACUGCGUCCCGCAGGGCCCCCGACAGCACUGCCGUGCCCGUCAGGGUGACCCAGAGGUGCCAGGACCAAGAGCCAAAUGACAGCGAGGCAUCGCACAAUGGAAGUGCGCAGAAUGUCAACUUGUAUAACCCAGCUGGAGGUAUGAUUGCCUUUCACAUUUUGCUCAAUGUCUGUAAGAUUUUCAACUUGGUAAUUCAUUUUUUCAGCAUAUUCUUGGGACAGGGGAUCUCUUGUGUUCAGAGAUCUCAACUGGAGGUGGGAUGCCCUCAGGUGAACCUUGCAGUCUCUUGUCACUGCACUUAGCCACUGGUUUGUUUUCCCCUGUGAAAACCUGCUAGUCCUUCCUUCUUGGCAUAUUGGUUGAUGGGAUGCAACUUGGAGCAUUGAGGUCAAGGUUUGGACUACUCCUAAAUUCACAGCCUUGGUAGCUAAGGUUUUCCUUUUGGAGUAUCUAGGCACUGUCAUUAUACUUUAAAUUUAAAUGGGUAAACCUAUGCAGCCUUGAGAAUGUUUCAUAGAGAAUUUCAUAGCUUCAGUGUGGGAAACUUUGCUUGAUUUAAUUUUUUCUCUGGGUCAUUAAUAAGUGAGUGUUGCCACAACACUGUGUUGGGUUCUUUUCAAGGAAAUUGAAAGGAAGAUAUUGAUGUCAUCUUCCCCAUGGAUUCCAUCAUUUCCCCCAAAGCACAAUGCACUUAGGUGAUGUCAUUUGUUAUUAAUCUGUUCUCAAUGCUGUUUCCCCAAAGAGCCGGGCUCCAGGCAGACUCGAGGUGCACAUUCCCCUUACAGGCACUCAGUGGUGCUGCCUGCAGCAGUGAGCUGAGCCAGGUACAGCCAGCUGCCCUGAGAAAAGCAGGCUCUCACCUGGCUGUGGCUGCACUCACCUGCCUGCAGGGACUUCCCUGCCACUGUAAGUGCAGCUCUUGCUCUGCCUUAGCCUACUGCAGAGCAUUUUAAACUAGCGCCAUGGUGGCUUUUUGCAGAGACAAAACUAAACUUCACAUUUCGCAUUGGGGACAUUCUGUUUCACAUGUGAAUGAUGAUUUGUGUGAUUCUUGGUGGUGGUGUGCACAGAUCCUAAGGGAAUAUUUAGCAUUCGGUAACUGGGGUGUGAGGACUGGCAGUAGUGAGACAAUUGUGGAACUUGGCACUGCUUUGGCUUUAGGCUGGCACAGAGAAACUCAGGUGAGACAGGUCUGGUUGCUGCUAGGGUACAGGGUGCCUUUGCAACAUGCUCCAUGCUGUACCAGUUAGGGACUGGGCUUUGUCACAGAAUCAGAGAAUCAGAAUCAGACUUGGAAGGGAU